GACAUUCUUUUCUUGGGGUUGAGUUACUGUCCAAUGAGUGUCUAGUAAGGACAGUACUGCUAAAACCUACACAACACACCCACAUCAACUAGAGCUUUGCUUUAUCUUGGUGUAAUUUUUGGAAAA
This 126-nucleotide non-coding RNA is filed under the name Carlito syrichta (Philippine tarsier). RNAcentral describes it as "U4atac minor spliceosomal RNA (ENSTSYG00000027726.1)". It matches the Rfam family "U4atac minor spliceosomal RNA". Rfam says of the family: U4atac is an essential component of the minor U12-type spliceosome complex which is required for removal of the rarer class of eukaryotic introns (AT-AC, U12-type). These interacting stem loops have been shown to be required for in vivo splicing. U4atac also contains an 3' Sm protein binding site which has been shown to be essential for splicing activity. The record is from Rfam by way of RNAcentral. Lineage: Eukaryota; Metazoa; Chordata; Mammalia; Primates; Tarsiidae.